AUCCAGAAAAUAAACUUUUUCUUACUACGCUGAUUACCUUUUCUGUGUUCGGGCAUUCAUUUUUGACAUCUUAGAUUUUUUUUUCUGAAGAGAGAUGGAGGUGGAGCACAGAGACGAUUACGAUAAGUGUUUUUAAGUAAUACAGGUGUCCCCAUGUACUAUCACUUUAAGUUUGCAUUUCUGUUGUGGCUCCAACUUCUAUCUUUUGAUGGAUGUACACAUUGCUGCACCUGUAUAAUUCCCAUGAAAAAGUGUGCCCGAGAGUGAAUAUGAAUGAACGAUUUUAUGCAUGUUUUGCAGGGGUGUGCACAUGCACCAGUGUAUUUUCAAUGAAAAAUCCGACUAUUAUGGAUGUUAUCCAACUGGUGCUUGGCAUGGUUGAUAUUUUUCUCAGUCUGUGCGGACUAGGGUGGCAGUCUGGCUAUCAUGGAUUUUGGAUUUUUUUGGAUCUUUGCAACGGUGUACAUAAUUGUACACACAAAUGUAAAUUAA
Long non-coding RNA from Papaver somniferum (opium poppy), 492 nucleotides. RefSeq lists it as uncharacterized. NCBI's taxonomy places the organism in Eukaryota, Viridiplantae, Streptophyta, Magnoliopsida, Ranunculales, Papaveraceae. The transcript is spliced from 4 exons. The record is from RefSeq and is a predicted model, not a curated record.